This 263-nucleotide ribosomal RNA is filed under the name uncultured Staphylococcus sp. RNAcentral describes it as "partial 16S ribosomal RNA". It matches the Rfam family "Bacterial small subunit ribosomal RNA", at positions 99 to 354 of the family's 1533-position model. The record is from RNAcentral. Lineage: Bacteria; Bacillati; Bacillota; Bacilli; Caryophanales; Staphylococcaceae.
CGGACGGGUGAGUAUCACGUGGAUAACCUACCUAUAAGACUGGGAUAACUUCGGGAAACCGGAGCUAAUACCGGAUAAUAUAUUGAACCGCAUGGUUCAAUAGUGAAAGACGGUUUUGCUGUCACUUAUAGAUGGAUCCGCGCCGCAUUAGCUAGUUGGUAAGGUAACGGCUUACCAAGGCAACGAUGCGUAGCCGACCUGAGAGGGUGAUCGGCCACACUGGAACUGAGACACGGUCCAGACUCCUACGGGAGGCAGCAGGU